AUGCUUGCUUCAGUGGCACACAUACUAAAAUUGGAAUGAUACCAAAAAGAUUAGCAUGGCCCCUGUGCAAGGAUGACAUUCAAAUUCAUGAAGCAUUCCAUAUUUUU
This 107-nucleotide small nuclear RNA is filed under the name Mus caroli (Ryukyu mouse). Lineage: Eukaryota; Metazoa; Chordata; Mammalia; Rodentia; Muridae. The record is from RNAcentral.